Molecule: ribosomal RNA, 253 nt
Filed under: uncultured bacterium
Lineage: Bacteria
Description: partial 16S ribosomal RNA
Rfam family: Bacterial small subunit ribosomal RNA
Source: RNAcentral
UACGUAGGGGGCAAGCGUUGUCCGGAAUCAUUGGGCGUAAAGCGCGUGUAGGCGGCUCGGUAAGUCCGCUCUGAAAGUCCGGGGCUCAACCCCGGGAGGCGGGUGGAUACUGUCGAGCUCGAGUCCGGAAGAGGCGAGUGGAAUUCCUGGUGUAGCGGUGAAAUGCGCAGAUAUCAGAAGGAACACCGAUGGCGAAGGCAGCUCGCUGGGACGUGACUGACGCUGAGACGCGAAAGCGUGGGGAGCAAACAGG